GUGCUUGCUUUGGCAGCACAUAUACUAAAAUGGGAAUGAUACAGAGAAGAUUAGCAUGGUCCCUGCACUAGGAUUACACACAAAUUCCUGAAACAUUCCGUAUUAUA
This is a small nuclear RNA of Chlorocebus sabaeus (green monkey), 107 nucleotides long. The record is from Ensembl. NCBI's taxonomy places the organism in Eukaryota, Metazoa, Chordata, Mammalia, Primates, Cercopithecidae.